Molecule: ribosomal RNA, 521 nt
Filed under: uncultured bacterium
Lineage: Bacteria
Description: bacterial SSU rRNA
Rfam family: Bacterial small subunit ribosomal RNA
Source: RNAcentral
ACUGGCUCAGAACGAACGCUGGCGGCGUGCUUAACACAUGCAAGUCGAACGCGAAAGGGACUUCGGUCCUGAGUAAAGUGGCGGCACGGGUGAGUAACGCGUAGAUAACCUGUCUUCAUGUCUGGAAUAAUACGCCGAAAGGGGUACUAAUACCGGAUAUUCUUGCUUUUUCAUAAGUUAUGCAAGCAAAGGUGGCCUCUGCAUAUGCUACUGCACGAAGAGGGGUCUGCGUACCAUUAGCUAGUAGGUGGGGUAAUGGCCUACCUAGGCGACGAUGGUUAGCGGGUCUGAGAGGAUGAUCCGCCACACUGGCACUGGAACACGGGCCAGACUCCUACGGGAGGCAGCAGUGAGGAAUAUUGCGCAAUGGGGGAAACCCUGACGCAGCGCGCCGCGUGAGUGAGGAAGGCCUUCGGGUCGUAAAGCUCUGUCAAGAGGAAAGAAGUGUACAAUGGCUAAUACCUGUUGUAUUUGACGGUACCUCUAAAGGAAGCACCGGCUAACUCCGUGCCAGCCGCCGC